Molecule: ribosomal RNA, 1391 nt
Filed under: uncultured rumen bacterium
Lineage: Bacteria
Description: 16S ribosomal RNA
Rfam family: Bacterial small subunit ribosomal RNA
Source: RNAcentral
UUUAGUGGCGGACUGGUGAGUAACACGUAAGCAACCUGCCUAUCAGAGGGGAAUAACAGUGAGAAAUCAUUGCUAAUACCGCAUAAGCUAGUAGUAUCGCAUGAUACAGCUAGAAAAGGAGCAAUCCGCUGAUAGAUGGGCUUGCGUCUGAUUAGCUAGUUGGUGGGGCAACGGCCUACCAAGGCGACGAUCAGUAGCCGGACUGAGAGGUUGAACGGCCACAUUGGGACUGAGAUACGGCCCAGACUCCUACGGGAGGCAGCAGUCGGGAAUAUUGCGCAAUGGAGGAAACUCUGACGCAGUGACGCCGCGUAUAGGAAGAAGGUUUUCGGAUUGUAAACUAUUGUCAUGAGGGAAGAAAUUGACAGUACCUCAGGAGGAAGCUCCGGCUAACUAUGUGCCAGCAGCCGCGGUAAUACAUAGGGAGCAAGCGUUAUCCGGAAUUAUUGGGUGUAAAGGGUGCGUAGACGGGAAUGUAAGUUGGUUGUGAAAUCCCUCGGCUUAACUGAGGAAUUGCAACCAAAACUGUAUUUCUUGAGUACUGGAGGGGAAAGUGGAAUUCCUAGUGUAGCGGUGAAAUGCGUAGAUAUUAGGAGGAACACCGGUGGCGAAGGCGACUUUCUGGACAGUAACUGACGUUGAGGCACGAAAGUGUGGGGAGCAAACAGGAUUAGAUACCCUGGUAGUCCACACUGUAAACGAUGGAUACUAGGUGUAGGGUGUAUUAAGCACUCUGUGCCGCCGCAAACGCAUUAAGUAUCCCACCUGGGGAGUACGACCGCAAGGUUGAAACUCAAAGGAAUUGACGGGGGCCCGCACAAGCAGUGGAGUAUGUGGUUUAAUUCGAAGCAACGCGAAGAACCUUACCAGGGCUUGACAUGAACAGGAAUAACUUAGAGAUAGGUUAGCUCUUCGGAGCCUGUUUACAGGUGGUGCAUGGUUGUCGUCAGCUCGUGUCGUGAGAUGUUGGGUUAAGUCCCGCAACGAGCGCAACCCCUGCUUUUAGUUGCCAGCACGUAAUGGUGGGAACUCUAGAAGGACUGCCGGUGAUAAAUCGGAGGAAGGUGGGGACGACGUCAAAUCAUCAUGCCCUUUAUGUCCUGGGCUACACACGUACUACAAUGGCCGCAACAGAGGGAAGCGAAGUAGUGAUAUGGAGCAAAACCCGAAAAACGGUCUCAGUUCGGAUUGAAGGCUGAAAUUCGCCUUCAUGAAGCUGGAAUUGCUAGUAAUGGCAGGUCAGCAUACUGCCGUGAAUACGUUCCCGGGCCUUGUACACACCGCCCGUCACACCAUGAGAGUUGGGAAUACCCGAAGCCUGUGAGCUAACUUUUAGAGGCAGCAGUCGAAGGUAGAAUCAAUGAUUGGGGUGAAGUCGUAACAAGGUAACC